UACGUAGGGCGCGAGCGUUGUCCGGAAUUAUUGGGCGUAAAGAGCUCGUAGGCGGCCUGUUGCGUCCGCUGUGAAAUCCCGGGGCUCAACCCUGGGCGUGCAGUGGAUACGGGCAGGCUGGAGGCAGGCAGGGGAGAACGGAAUUCCCGGUGUAGCGGUGAAAUGCGCAGAUAUCGGGAGGAACACCGAUGGCGAAGGCAGCCUUCUGGGCCAACACUGACGCUCAUGCACGAAAGCGUGGGGAGCAAACAGG
RNAcentral lists this ribosomal RNA (253 nucleotides) under uncultured bacterium. Its description in RNAcentral is "partial 16S ribosomal RNA". It matches the Rfam family "Bacterial small subunit ribosomal RNA", at positions 524 to 776 of the family's 1533-position model. The record is from RNAcentral.